This 540-nucleotide ribosomal RNA is filed under the name uncultured soil bacterium. RNAcentral describes it as "bacterial SSU rRNA". It matches the Rfam family "Bacterial small subunit ribosomal RNA", at positions 8 to 524 of the family's 1533-position model. The record is from RNAcentral.
AGAGUUUGAUCCUGGCUCAGAACGAACGCUGGCGGCGUGCCUAACACAUGCAAGUCGAACGAGAAAGGGGCCUCGGCUCCGAGUAAAGUGGCGCACGGGUGAGUAACACGUGGGUAACCUGCCUCUAAGAUUGGGAUAACUCGUCGAAAGAUGAGCUAAUACCGAAUAAGACCACAGUUCCCGCGGGAACAGGGGUCAAAGGUAGCCUCUGCUUGCAAGCUAUCACUUAGAGAUGGGCCUGCGCACCAUUAGCUAGUUGGUAGGGUAACGGCCUACCAAGGCAAAGAUGGUUGGCUGGUCUGAGAGGAUGAUCAGCCACACUGGAACUGAGACACGGUCCAGACUCCUACGGGAGGCAGCAGUGGGGAAUAUUGCGCAAUGGGCGAAAGCCUGACGCAGCAACGCCGCGUGAGUGAUGAAGGCCUUCGGGUCGUAAAGCUCUGUCGGGAGGAACGAAUGCUCCUGAGGUUAACAGCCUCGGGAGGUGACGGUACCUUCAAAGGAAGCACCGGCUAACUCUGUGCCAGCAGCCGCGGUAAU